GACAGAGGGUGCAAACGUUGCUCGGAUUUACUGGGCGUAAAGCGCGUGUAGGCGGGCGACUAAGUCGGAUGUGAAAUCCCCUGGGCUCAACCUAGGAACUGCAUUCGAAACUGGUCACCUAGAGUGAUGGAGAGGAAAGCGGAAUUCCCGGUGUAGAGGUGAAAUUCGUAGAUAUCGGGAGGAACACCAGUGGCGAAGGCGGCUUUCUGGACAUUUACUGACGCUGAGACGCGAAAGCGUGGGGAGCAAACAGG
RNAcentral lists this ribosomal RNA (254 nucleotides) under uncultured bacterium. RNAcentral describes it as "partial 16S ribosomal RNA". It matches the Rfam family "Bacterial small subunit ribosomal RNA", at positions 524 to 776 of the family's 1533-position model. The record is from RNAcentral.